GAUCAUGGCUCAGGAUGAACGCUAGCUACAGGCUUAACACAUGCAAGUCGAGGGGAAACGAUAUUGGAAGCUUGCUUCCGAUAGGCGUCGACCGGCGCACGGGUGAGUAACGCGUAUGCAACCUGCCCGAUACCGGGGUAUAGCCCAUGGAAACGUGGAUUAACACCCCAUAGUACUUUUAUCCUGCCUGGGAUGGGAGUUAAAUGUUCAAGGUAUCGGAUGGGCAUGCGUCCUAUUAGUUAGUUGGG
Molecule: ribosomal RNA, 248 nt
Filed under: uncultured bacterium
Lineage: Bacteria
Description: partial 16S ribosomal RNA
Rfam family: Bacterial small subunit ribosomal RNA
Source: RNAcentral